This 201-nucleotide long non-coding RNA is filed under the name Olea europaea (common olive). RNAcentral's name for it is "long non-coding RNA (OEUR_LNC006660)". The record is from RNAcentral. Lineage: Eukaryota; Viridiplantae; Streptophyta; Magnoliopsida; Lamiales; Oleaceae.
CCAAUAUCAAUCGAACGUGGCUCUGAUACCACUGAUAGUUUUUGUGUUGUUGUAGUGAUGAGAUAGGAUGAUUGAGGAUGUUUUGUAUGGAAUAAUUUUGGAGGUAAAAAAUAGUUGGCUUUUUAUUGAAAGUUAAUAGUUUGGAAGAUUUUGGUAGAAAGUAAUUUGGUGGACAAAGUGGGUAGGAGAAAGGAAUUUUAU